UACGGAGGGUGCAAGCGUUAUCCGGAUUUACUGGGUUUAAAGGGUGCGUAGGCGGGCUAUUAAGUCAGUGGUGAAAUCCCCGGGGCUCAACCUCGGAACUGCCAUUGAUACUAUUAGUCUUGAAUUAUGUUGAGGUUGGCGGAAUAUAACAUGUAGCGGUGAAAUGCUUAGAUAUGUUAUGGAACACCGAUUGCGAAGGCAGCUGGCUAAACAUAUAUUGACGCUGAUGCACGAAAGUGUGGGUAGCGAACAGG
This 254-nucleotide ribosomal RNA is filed under the name uncultured bacterium. RNAcentral's name for it is "partial 16S ribosomal RNA". It matches the Rfam family "Bacterial small subunit ribosomal RNA", at positions 524 to 776 of the family's 1533-position model. The record is from RNAcentral.